CCCUCCCCCCGGGCUCCGGGCCUGAGGCGGUCCCGGUCCCCGCCCGCCGCCCGCUCGCUCGCCCGCCCGCCCGCCCGCUCCUCACCGUGUCAGCGACAACGCGGCCGAGGCCGAGGCCGGGCUCCUCCGCGCCGCAUCCUCCCGGCCGCCCAGCGCGGACGGGGCCAGGGCGGGACCCGGACCGAGCGGCCGCCGCUCCGGCCCUGCUCCGAGCCGAGGCAGCGACACCAAAAUGGCGGCGGCUCCUGCUCCUCCGCGAGAGAGCGCCCGGCCACGCCCCCCCCGCGCGCCAGGCCACGCCCCCGCCCGCGGCCACACCCCGGGGUGGCCCCGCCCCCAGCUCCUCGCCCCGGGGGGGGCGGUGCCGGGAUCCGCGGCCGUGCCCCCCGGGUGGGGCCGGCCCGGGCCGAGCCCGCCCCGCGCCGCCUUUGGGCCUCGCGGGGACCCGUAGCGGGCUCGCGCGGGCCGCGGCCUUGCCUCGCCGUGGAGCCUGGCGCCUGAGCUGGGGCUGGAAACAAACGGGAGCCGUUCCCCUGACGGACUGAGUUUCUUCCCCCCUGCCCGCCGGACGUGCACAGCAAGGAAAAAUGCUGAGAAGUCUGAAAGGUCUUGUCUGCCAUCCUCUGAAGGUAAGUCUUGUGGCAGUAUGAUGCUGCUUCCAAUACUUCAGCUGUCCUGUGACCUGGAACAACAGUCUACAACUAUAAAAAGUGGUGUCUCUUAUAAACUGGUCGUGCAAGCUCCCAUUACGGAGAGAGACCACUGAGUGUUAUUUCUACUUUUCUCUCCAUUCCUGUAAACGUGUGGGACAGCAAAUGUGUCAGUGAGUCUGGGCAGUUGGCUCAAGUGAGAUGGUUGUUAAACGACUGAGUCUAGCAUCCUGAAAUGUCCAGAAUGCUGAAGAGUCUAUAUCUUUGAUACAAGCGUAUCCCAGAAAACAGAGAACCUACUUGCUCUGCACUGCUGGAAAAUGUAAAGGAAGAAGCCCUUUCUCUUGGUACAGAAGAACCAAUCUUUCACAAAGGCUGUGUGUGGCUCUUUCACAAAGCCAAAGAUGGCUUAGUGCUUCAGGUGGGUGUAGGAAUGUUAGCUCUGUCACAACACUGCAGCAACACUAUGUUAUUAGUAAAGCUUCCUUGUAUUAUAUGUAGCAUAAUGAAUUGAUGUUGCAUAUCUGGAGUGACUUCCUAAAGGUAAAGAAUUUCAGUUGUUUAGUUUUCUGUUGUCUUUGAAAUGUUUUUUCAUUAGUACGUAGUGAUUAUGCACCCGUUGAAGAGGAAGACUGUUAAAGUCCUUGCUUCUGGAGACGAGAUCCUGGUUGUUACAGUACGGGGUUUAUCAUGGCAGCCUGUAUGAAAUCAGCAGUCUUUUCUAGAGACUUAUAUGUAGCAUCAUGCAGGAACAGCUCCACCUUAUGGCACAUGACUUUAUGAUUAAUCUCCAUGUACCACGUGAUAGUUUGCUGCCAUUUCAGGGAUUUGAGUUAAACUACUGUCCUUUUGCAGGUGGAAACUUACUAUAAAGUCCACUCUAUGUUGUUAGGAUAAGCUGUGUUAAAAGAUGACACGACAAUGUGAGAGCU
Anser brachyrhynchus (Pink-footed goose) is the source of this 1582-nucleotide long non-coding RNA. The record is from Ensembl. NCBI's taxonomy places the organism in Eukaryota, Metazoa, Chordata, Aves, Anseriformes, Anatidae.